GCAAGAUUAAAACUCAAAGGAAUAGACGGGGACCCGCACAAGUGGUGGAGCAUGUGGUUUAAUUCGAAGAUACGCGAAGAACCUUACCUAGCCUUGACAUUGAUAGAAUCUUCCAGAGAUGGAGGAGUGCCUUUCGGGGAACUUGAAAACAGGUGCUGCACGGCUGUCGUCAGCUCGUGUCGUGAGAUGUUGGGUUAAGUCCCGCAACGAGCGCAACCCUCGUCAUUAGUUACUAACAGUUCGGCUGAGGACUCUAAUGAGACUGCCUUCGUAAGGAGGAGGAAGGUGAGGACGACGUCAAGUCAUCAUGGCCCUUACGGCUAGGGCGACACACGUGCUACAAUGGUUAGGACAAUGAGAAGCGAUACCGCGAGGUGGAGCAAAUCUAUAAACCUAAUCUCAGUUCGGAUUGUAGUCUGCAACUCGACUACAUGAAGCUGGAAUCACUAGUAAUCGUAGAUCAGCCAUGCUACGGUGAAUACGUUCCCGGGUCUUGUACUCACCGCCCGUCACACCAUGGGAGUUGAUUUCACCCGAAGCGGGGAAGCUAAACUGGCUACCCUCCACGGUGGAAUUAGCGACUGGGGUGAAGUCGAAGCAACAUA
RNAcentral lists this ribosomal RNA (605 nucleotides) under uncultured bacterium. RNAcentral's name for it is "bacterial SSU rRNA". It matches the Rfam family "Bacterial small subunit ribosomal RNA", at positions 888 to 1498 of the family's 1533-position model. The record is from RNAcentral.